Molecule: ribosomal RNA, 195 nt
Filed under: uncultured Verrucomicrobiales bacterium
Lineage: Bacteria; Pseudomonadati; Verrucomicrobiota; Verrucomicrobiia; Verrucomicrobiales
Description: partial 16S ribosomal RNA
Rfam family: Bacterial small subunit ribosomal RNA
Source: RNAcentral
CCUACGGGAGGCAGCAGUCGAGAAUUUUUCACAAUGGACGAAAGUCUGAUGGAGCGACGCCGCGUGGAGGAUGAAGGUUUUCGGAUUGUAAACUCCUGUCACUGCAGAACAAGGAUGUGUCAGUUAAUAGCCGACACAUUUGAUGGUAUGCGGAGAGGAAGGGACGGCUAACUCUGUGCCAGCAGCCGCGGUAAU